CCAAACUUGGUCAUUUAGAGGAAGUAAAAGUCGUAACAAGGUUUCCGUAGGUGAACCUGCGGAAGGAUCAUUAUCGAGUUUUGGGUACCUUCGGGUCCCUACUCCCACCCGAUGUUUAAUUGAACCGUUGCUUUGGCGGGCCGCUCCCGCCAGAGGAUCAUCUGAAGACCCUAGCUAGUCGUGAGAUCUGAGCACUUGGGAAUCGAAUAAAACUUUCAACAACGGAUCUCUUGGUUCUGGCAUCGAUGAAGAACGCAGC
Molecule: unclassified non-coding RNA, 259 nt
Filed under: uncultured fungus
Lineage: Eukaryota; Fungi
Description: partial contains small subunit ribosomal RNA, internal transcribed spacer 1, and 5.8S ribosomal RNA
Rfam family: Eukaryotic small subunit ribosomal RNA (bases 1-73)
Source: RNAcentral